Molecule: long non-coding RNA, 723 nt
Organism: Arabidopsis lyrata subsp. lyrata
Lineage: Eukaryota; Viridiplantae; Streptophyta; Magnoliopsida; Brassicales; Brassicaceae
Exons: 2
Source: RefSeq, a predicted model, not a curated record
UGUUCUAAAAAUCGGGCUAGGCGGCCGAUUAAUCGGCGCCUAGGCGCUAGGCGGUGCUGUACCGAUGGGUUUAAUGCAUAAUCGGUUUAAGAAAUCGGUUUACUGAUUACACCCCGCGUAAACCCGAUUUUUUGGAAAAUCGCCGAUUUAAUAAUUUAAAAAUUUGGGCUUUAAUUCGAAUUGGGCCUCAAAAUUAAUUAAACCCAUUUAUUUUUCUGGAUUUGGAAUUUUAGUUUAAUGAAACCCACAUCCACGUUUUCUUCUUCUCUCCACUCGUGCAUUACAGUGAAACCAAACAAAAUUAACGAAACCUAAACAAGUUUUUUUCUUAAAAGAAUGGAAGAAACCUAAUGAACUUUGCUCACAUCCCAUAAUCUCGUCUCUCAAAAAUUAGUUCUAACCCUAACAAAAUUUGAUUUGAUUUCGAGCCACUCUUAUCUCUAAAAUCUCAACAUCGGCACUACACAAUUCUGCAACUUUCUCUCUGAUAAUUAAAAAGUCCUAACUAAACAAGAAGUCCAACAUAUGCUAAUUACUUGAUCAUUGAAGAAAUCAAACGAGGAAGAAGUAGUAGUCUUCACUUUUUUGUGACCUUUCACUAUUUUUUAUGUGUCUCUAGAUCAAGACCAUACUAUUUUUUGUAUAACAUGUUGGAACUUUAAAUUGUAUUUUGAAUACCCAUUUAGGAUGAAUGUCAUUUUGAUAUAAAGUAAUUUUGCAAAA